GAGUUUGAUCAUGGCUCAGAACGUACGCUGGCGGCACGCCUAACACAUGCAAGUCGAACGAAGUAGCAAUACUUAGUGGCAGACGGGUGAGUAACAUGUAGGUAUCUGCCCUUUGGCCUGGAAUAACACGAGGAAACUUGUGCUAAUACCGGAUAAGUCUUUACGGAGAAAGCUUUAUGCACCAUUGGAUGAGCCUGCACUUGAUUAGUUUGUUGGUGGGGUAAUGGCCUACCAAGACUGUGAUCAAUAGCUGAUUUGAGAGGAUGAUCAGCCACAUUGGGACUGAGACACGGCCCAAACUCCUACGGGAGGCAGCAGUGGGGAAUCUUGCACAAUGGAGGAAACUCUGAUGCAGCGAUGCCGCGUGAGUGAAGAAGGCCCUUGGGUUGUAAAGCUCUUUCGUCAGGGAAGAAAAUGACUGUACCCGAAUAAGAAGGUCCGGCUAACUUCGUGCCAGCAGCCGCGGUAAUACGAAGGGACCUAGCGUAGUUCGGAAUUACUGGGCUUAAAGAGUUCGUAGGUGGUUGAAAAAGUUAGUGGUGAAAUCCCAGAGCUUAACUCUGGAACUGCCAUUAAAACUUUUCAGCUAGAGUAUGAUAGAGGAAAGCAGAAUUUCUAGUGUAGAGGUGAAAUUCGUAGAUAUUAGAAAGAAUACCAAUUGCGAAGGCAGCUUUCUGGAUCAUUACUGACACUGAGGAACGAAAGCAUGGGUAGCGAAGAGGAUUAGAUACCCUCGUAGUCCAUGCCGUAAACGAUGUGUGUUAGACGUUGGAAAUUUAUUUUCAGUGUCGCAGGAAACCGAUAAACACACCGCCUGGGGAGUACGACCGCAAGGUUAAAACUCAAAUGAAUUGACGGGGACCCGCACAAGUAGUGGAGCAUGUGGUUUAAUUCGAAGAUACGCGCAGAACCCUUACCAACACUUGACAUGUUCGUCGCGACUCUAAGAGAUUAGAGUUUUCCGGUUCC
This 969-nucleotide ribosomal RNA is filed under the name uncultured bacterium. RNAcentral's name for it is "bacterial SSU rRNA". It matches the Rfam family "Bacterial small subunit ribosomal RNA", at positions 9 to 1023 of the family's 1533-position model. The record is from RNAcentral.